RNAcentral lists this ribosomal RNA (255 nucleotides) under uncultured bacterium. RNAcentral's name for it is "partial 16S ribosomal RNA". It matches the Rfam family "Bacterial small subunit ribosomal RNA", at positions 524 to 776 of the family's 1533-position model. The record is from RNAcentral.
UACAGAGGGUGCGAGCGUUGUUCGGAAUUACUGGGCGUAAAGCGCGCGCAGGCGGCCCUUUAAGUCUACCCGUGAAAUGCCGGAGCUCAACUCCGUGCACGCCGGGGGAUACUGGGGGGCUGGAGACAUGUAGAGGCAAGCGGAAUUCCGGGUGUAGCGGUGGAAUGCGUAGAGAUCGGAAGGAACGUCGAUGGCGAAGGCAGCCACCUGGCAUAAUACUGACGCUGAGGCGCGAAAGCGUGGGUAGCGAACAGG